RNAcentral lists this non-coding RNA (429 nucleotides) under Pan troglodytes (chimpanzee). Lineage: Eukaryota; Metazoa; Chordata; Mammalia; Primates; Hominidae. The record is from RNAcentral.
GAAGGGGCGAGGAGCUUUGCAGUUGUGUGCGACUGUGUACAGCUUUGAAUCUGCUGUUAUUAAGUUGCUGGUGCUGAAAUAACACUUAUUAUUUAUGGUCUAACUGAAAUGGGAACACUGGAAACUUCUUUGAAACUGAAGAAAAAAAUGAAAAAGAAGUUUUUACAAUCAAAACUGCCAUGAAGACUGCUUUACCCAAAAUUUUGGUCCACAGCUUUCAUUGAAUUACUUAUCAGGGCAAACAAAGUUUAGCCAUGUGAACACGUUCCAAUUUUGUUAGAAAUAAUUUGGAUCCAGCUAUCUUUAUACAAUGGUGAGUUCGUAUUGCAUCUCAUGGCUAAAAUACUGAGGUAAAGGCUUUUGGAUCUUUGUGUGUGUGUGUGUGCAUGUGACAAAAACAAGCAAUGGGGAAAGGAGUCCCUAUUUAAU